Long non-coding RNA from Lolium perenne, 897 nucleotides. RefSeq lists it as uncharacterized. Lineage: Eukaryota; Viridiplantae; Streptophyta; Magnoliopsida; Poales; Poaceae. The record is from RefSeq and is a predicted model, not a curated record.
CAGUUGAUUUUGUGGCGCUGAUUUGAAUCUUACCCGCGCUUCUGAUUAAUUCAUGAAGUACAAGGGAAAAUCAUGGUUGAAUUUCUUAAUAUGAGCCAUACAAAUAUCAACACGUUUCUCUUACCAUUCGGUUUCUUUGGUCCUGGUUUGAUGACAUGGCUGUGAUGAUAAACACAUUAGCAAACACGCCAGUUCUGCUUCUGAAAAUUCAUGACUGAACAAUCUGUUAAUAUAUAUCUGAGCCAUGCACAACAGCGUCAUGAACCAUUUAAUAGAUCUGCAUUGUGAUCAGAUCUUGUUAUCAUUCAGUGAUGCAACCAGCCCAACAUUUGGAGGUUCAGAUGCAUCCAGGAUCCUGUUAACAGUUUACAUGAUGGUUGCCCGAUUUUAACUAUCCUCUCGCAAGCACAUCAGAUUUGUGGAAGAGGCUGAAAAACUCGGGAGAGCAUGUGUUGUCAUCAGCUUCGUCACUUGUUUCUACGAGAUGGGAGUUAAAUAACGACACGAAAUCCAUCUGAUUAUUGGGUGAGUAGAUUAGCUGACUAUUCAGGUCCUUGUAACCUUAUUUUGACGUUAUCUUAAGAAAGUGAAGCCCAUAGAAACAAACUUGCUGUAGUUGACUUCGUAAAUAAAAUGGCGGUGAUGAUCAACACUUUCAGCAAACAUGCCAGUUCUGCUUCUGAGAAUUCCUGACUGAAGGAACUGUUUUAUAUGUCUGAGCCAUACAUUUGCACUCUUUAUCAUUGUAAUAUACCUCUUCUUGUGUGAUCUGAUCUGAUUAACAUGAAACUUCUAUAUCCAGUUUUAGUUGUUUUUUCAUCUUUAUGUACUUUGAUUGAUGUAUGUAACAGUUUCUCUGAAUUGUUAAAAGUUGUUGGUAUUAGCUUCGGCAUCAGA